Molecule: ribosomal RNA, 459 nt
Filed under: Palapedia sp. 2 JCYL-2010
Lineage: Eukaryota; Metazoa; Arthropoda; Malacostraca; Decapoda; Xanthidae
Description: partial 16S ribosomal RNA
Rfam family: Bacterial large subunit ribosomal RNA
Source: RNAcentral
CAAAGGUAGCAUAAUCAUUAGGGGUUUAAUUGGAACCUGGUAUGAAGGGUUGGAUAAAGGAAAGACUGUCUUUAAAGGUAAAAAUUGAACUUUACUUUUAAGUGAAAAGGCUUAAAUAUAUCAAAGGGACGAUAAGACCCUAUAAAGCUUUAUAGAUAAUUUAAAUCUGACUAAUUUAGUAAUAAAGGUUAGAUUUGAUUAUUCUAUUUUGUUGGGGUGAUAUGAGUAUAAAUAUUGUUAACUGCUUAAAAAAAAUUCUUUUAUAGGAGAGUUCUAAGUAUAUGAUCCUUUUUAAAGAUUAAAAGACUAAGUUACUUUAGGGAUAACAGCGUUAUUUCUUUUGAGAGUUCAUAUCGAAAAAGAAGAUUGCGACCUCGAUGUUGAAUUAAAAUAUCUAUAUGAUGCAGCCGUUAUAAAAGAGGGUCUGUUCGACCUUUAAAUUUUUACAUGAUUUGAGUU